Molecule: unclassified non-coding RNA, 404 nt
Filed under: uncultured Rhizophagus
Lineage: Eukaryota; Fungi; Glomeromycota; Glomeromycetes; Glomerales; Glomeraceae
Description: sequence contains 28S rRNA gene
Source: RNAcentral
AGUUAAACAGUACGUGAAAUUGUUGAAAGGGAAACGAUUAAAGUCAGUCGUACCUACGAGUAAUCAACCUACACGAGCGCGAUUUUGUGGGUAUGAAGAGGUAAAAACCUUCAUGCUUGCUAAUUGGUGUUCUUUGGGCGUACUUUCUCGUAUGGUAGGUUAACAUCAAUUUCGAUCGUUAUAAAAUGACAGGAGGAAUGUAGCUUCGACUUCGGUUGAAGUGUUAUAGCCUCUGGUAGAUGUAAUGAUUGGGAUUGAGGAUUGCAACGGAUACCCUCUGGGCUAUUCGUCUGAUCUCUGGAAGUUACCUUGGUGUCGAAAGCGUGCUUAUGACAUUAAGAAUGACGGCCAAAAGGUUAGAACGGAAUUAAAUUCGUUAAGGAUGUUGACGUAAUGGCUUUAAA